Molecule: long non-coding RNA, 523 nt
Organism: Hibiscus syriacus
Lineage: Eukaryota; Viridiplantae; Streptophyta; Magnoliopsida; Malvales; Malvaceae
Exons: 2
Source: RefSeq, a predicted model, not a curated record
CCAAAAUUUCCCGAUCUACUCUCAUCUCACUUCACACAUCCGCUGCCGCCAUAAAAUGUCUCUCACCGCCCACCCUCACUCGCCUUCAAGUUUCCGGCAGAUCAGGGAAUUCAAGUAAGCCGCUUAGGGUGGAAUCGAAUCGAGCCAAACUCAAGCUACAAUAAGCUAAGUUCGGCUCAUAAUCUGCGGCUUGAAGCUUAAGUUCGACUCGAGCUUGUACUAUUAGACUUGAUUCAUAUCGCUUACAUGAGCCUAAUUUCUCAUGCUCAACUUCAUUUUCGAUUAUUUUUGCUUGAACUCGAGUUUAAGCUUGAGUUGUGUUUUGUCAAUGCUAAUUAAUAAGAUGGAAAGGCCUGAUUAGGUUUUCAAGCUGGUCUCGUCAAGUAUUAGGGUAUUCGAAUUUGAUUUAUUCGAUGACUUAGCUCAACUUGAUAAUAACCAAGUUAAAUUUCGGGGUCGACGGAUUGGAGGGAAGAGUUGCCCCAAGAGUUCACCGGAUCCAUUUUUUGGUUAGAGAAAUGAA